CCUACGGGUGGCUGCAGUGGGGAAUUUUGGACAAUGGGCGCAAGCCUGAUCCAGCCAUGCCGCGUGCGGGAAGAAGGCCUUCGGGUUGUAAACCGCUUUUGUCAGGGAAGAAACGGUCUAAACUAAUACUUUGGACUAAUGACGGUACCUGAAGAAUAAGCACCGGCUAACUACGUGCCAGCAGCCGCGGUAAUACGUAGGGUGCAAGCGUUAAUCGGAAUUACUGGGCGUAAAGCGUGCGCAGGCGGUUGUGCAAGACAGAUGUGAAAUCCCCG
RNAcentral lists this ribosomal RNA (275 nucleotides) under uncultured bacterium. Its description in RNAcentral is "partial 16S ribosomal RNA". It matches the Rfam family "Bacterial small subunit ribosomal RNA", at positions 338 to 605 of the family's 1533-position model. The record is from RNAcentral.